This 62-nucleotide transfer RNA is filed under the name Oenopia sauzeti. RNAcentral's name for it is "tRNA-Tyr". Lineage: Eukaryota; Metazoa; Arthropoda; Insecta; Coleoptera; Coccinellidae. The record is from RNAcentral.
AAUAAAGUGGCUGAAUUUAAGCGAUAAAUUGUAAAUUUAUUUAUGAGGUUUCUCCUUUAUUA